GAUGAACGCUGGCGGCGUGCCUAAUACAUGCCAGUCGAGCGAACAGACGAGGAGCUUACUCCUCUGACGUUAGCGGCGGACGGGUGAGUAACACGUGGAUAACCUACCUAUAAGACUGGGAUAACUUCGGGAAACCGGAGCUAAUACCGGAUAACAUGUUGAACCGCAUGGUUCAACAGUGAAAGACGGUCUUGCUGUCACUUAUAGAUGGAUCCGCGCCGCAUUAGCUAGUUGGUAAGGUAACGGCUUACCAAGGCAACGAUGCGUAGCCGACCUGAGAGGGUGAUCGGCCACACUGGAACUGAGACACGGUCCAGACUCCUACGGGAGGCAGCAGUAGGGAAUCUUCCGCAAUGGGCGAAAGCCUGACGGAGCAACGCCGCGUGAGUGAAGAAGGUCUUCGGAUCGUAAAACUCUGUUAUUAGGGAAGAACAAAUGUGUAAGUAACUAUGCACGUCUUGACGGUACCUAAUCAGAAAGCCACGGCUAACUACGUG
This 497-nucleotide ribosomal RNA is filed under the name uncultured bacterium. RNAcentral describes it as "partial 16S ribosomal RNA". It matches the Rfam family "Bacterial small subunit ribosomal RNA", at positions 28 to 507 of the family's 1533-position model. The record is from RNAcentral.